RNAcentral lists this ribosomal RNA (641 nucleotides) under Oxystomina paraclavicaudata. RNAcentral's name for it is "SSU rRNA". It matches the Rfam family "Eukaryotic small subunit ribosomal RNA", at positions 313 to 955 of the family's 1831-position model. Lineage: Eukaryota; Metazoa; Nematoda; Enoplea; Enoplida; Oxystominidae. The record is from RNAcentral.
UAUCAACUUUCGAUGGUAGUUUAUGCGCCUACCAUGGUUGUAACGGGUAACGGAGAAUCAGGGUUUGAUUCCGGAGAGGGAGCCCGAGAAAUGGCUACCACAUCCAAGGAAGGCAGCAGGCACGCAAAUUACCCACUCCCGGCACGGGGAGGUAGUGACGAAAAAUAACGAGCCAAUCCUCUACGAGGCUUGGCAUCGGAAUGGGUACAAUCUAAAUCCUUUAACGAGGAUCUAUUGGAGGGCAAGUCUGGUGCCAGCAGCCGCGGUAAUUCCAGCUCCAAUAGCGUAUAUUAAAGUUGUUGCGGUUAAAAAGCUCGUAGUUGGAUCUGCGGUGCAGUAGAGCGGUCCCCCAGUGGGUGUGUACUGCUUUUUACUCACCUAAUUCUUCUGGUUUGGCCUUGUUGCUCUUGACUGAGUGGCAUGGUUGGCUAGAUCUUUUACUUUGAAAAAAUUAGAGUGCUCAAAGCAGACGGUUUGUCUGAAUACUGGUGCAUGGAAUAAUGGAAUAGGACCUCGGUUCUAUGUUCGUUGGUUUUAAGAGCUCGAGGUAAUGAUUAAGAGGGACAGACGGGGGCAUUCGUAUUGCGACGUUAGAGGUGAAAUUCUUGGAUCGUCGCAAGACGGACUACUGCGAAAGCAUU